This is a long non-coding RNA of Triplophysa dalaica, 636 nucleotides long. RefSeq lists it as uncharacterized. The record is from RefSeq and is a predicted model, not a curated record. The transcript is spliced from 2 exons. Lineage: Eukaryota; Metazoa; Chordata; Actinopteri; Cypriniformes; Nemacheilidae.
GUGACGUCAUACAGAGUGCGCUGGUUUUCGUAGUGAAUGAAACGAUUUGAACAAGUUGAAGAACAACGAGAUUACUUUUCAGUUAUUUCAGGUGUUCCUGUAGUACUUUACGCUAAACAGACUUCAUAUCAAACUACCUUCAGUGAAGCCAUUUCGUCUCCAAUUCAUCUAUAAAUGCUGCAGACAUCACAUUCCACUACUCGACUAUUCUCAUCCAGUGGUGUAAUGAUGGAGUGUGUUUAAAGAGGAGAGUGAUGCAGAAUCACGCACAAUGGCCCUCAUUCAUCAAAGGAGCGUAGGAACCAGCGUACAUCAUAGCGAAAAAAUCUGCUUACGACUACACUCAGGUGUCAUUCGUUAAACUUUUGUGUGCGUCUAAUUCCGUCGGACGAAUGAACGGGUGUUGAUAAGUGCUGCCCCCAGGCUUUACGACAUGGAGAGGCGAAACCUGACAAAGAAACGGAAUUUUUCCGAACUGGAGAUUGAGACGCUAACGACACAAGUUGGAAACCACAGCCUUGUACUAUUCGGGAGUUUAAAGAGUGGUAUCAAAGGAGGUCACAAGAAAGCAAUUUGGAAGAAAAUCACUGAUGUGGUAAACAGUGUUGGCAUAGAGAGCCGAACACCAGCUGAGGU